RNAcentral lists this ribosomal RNA (619 nucleotides) under Penicillium sp. RNAcentral's name for it is "eukaryotic LSU rRNA". It matches the Rfam family "Eukaryotic large subunit ribosomal RNA", at positions 24 to 658 of the family's 3401-position model. The record is from RNAcentral. Lineage: Eukaryota; Fungi; Ascomycota; Eurotiomycetes; Eurotiales; Aspergillaceae.
CCCGCUGAACUUAAGCAUAUCAAUAAGCGGAGGAAAAGAAACCAACAGGGAUUGCCUCAGUAACGGCGAGUGAAGCGGCAAGAGCUCAAAUUUGAAAGCUGGCCCCCUCGGGGUCCGCAUUGUAAUUUGCAGAGGAUGCUUCGGGAGCGGCCCCCAUCUAAGUGCCCUGGAACGGGCCGUCAUAGAGGGUGAGAAUCCCGUCUGGGAUGGGGUGUCCGCGCCCGUGUGAAGCUCCUUCGACGAGUCGAGUUGUUUGGGAAUGCAGCUCUAAAUGGGUGGUAAAUUUCAUCUAAAGCUAAAUACUGGCCGGAGACCGAUAGCGCACAAGUAGAGUGAUCGAAAGAUGAAAAGCACUUUGAAAAGAGAGUUAAACAGCACGUGAAAUUGUUGAAAGGGAAGCGCUUGCGACCAGACUCGCUCGCGGGGUUCAGCCGGCAUUCGUGCCGGUGUACUUCCCCGCGAGCGGGCCAGCGUCGGUUUGGGCGGCCGGUCAAAGGCCCUCGGAAUGUAACGCCCCCCGGGGCGUCUUAUAGCCGAGGGUGCCAUGCGGCCAGCCCGGACCGAGGAACGCGCUUCGGCUCGGACGCUGGCAUAAUGGUCGUAAGCGACCCGUCUUGAA